GCCUCUGCAACAAAUAUUCCUAUUAUAACUACAGAAGCCAAAAUUGUCUAAGAAAAUAUAAGCAUUUGUACAACUAAGAAGAUACUCAGUAAGGCAAAUGCGCUUUGCUCAGAUAAAGUGUGAACUUCCGAGAUUUAAUUGGAGAACAAGGCAGCAAAUAAUAGUUCCGUAACCUAGUUAAGGAAGAUGAACCAAGAAUGUUAAAGUGGUGGUCACUUCAAUAAAGAAAAGGUGAUAUUGAAGAAGGAGCAAUUGCUCAUUUUUUGUGAUAUUGAAGACCAACUUUGCUGAUAAUUUGAUUAAGAGAAAUCACAUGAGAUUUUCCAUCCCAUUUUAAAGUUACAAAAGCAUGCUGGUUUUAUAAUUCCUAACCCAAGCAAACUGAUGUGAAGUAGUUACAUAUGCUUUGGUGUCAUUCCAUUGUUUUUCUGGCUUCUUCAACUUGAAGUUGUA
Molecule: unclassified non-coding RNA, 453 nt
Filed under: Hevea brasiliensis (rubber tree)
Lineage: Eukaryota; Viridiplantae; Streptophyta; Magnoliopsida; Malpighiales; Euphorbiaceae
Source: RNAcentral